Non-coding RNA from Gossypium raimondii (Peruvian cotton), 148 nucleotides. NCBI's taxonomy places the organism in Eukaryota, Viridiplantae, Streptophyta, Magnoliopsida, Malvales, Malvaceae. The record is from Rfam.
UGUUAAAAAUUUUAUGAAUUUCUACUGUUUAAAAUUGGUAUGGUUGGUGGAAUAACUAGACAAAUUACAUAUAGCGUGCCACAUACACCUCAUGCUCAUCGCCAACUAGGCUAAUUUUUAACAGUAAAAAUAAAUAGAAUUUUUAAUA